Pelobates cultripes (western spadefoot toad) is the source of this 472-nucleotide non-coding RNA. Lineage: Eukaryota; Metazoa; Chordata; Amphibia; Anura; Pelobatidae. The record is from the annotation of a GenBank genome assembly.
GUUUGUUUGUUUUUUACUUCUCGUUUUUCCCCUCUUGCUCACUUCUCACUUGAUCUGUGGAUAAAAUCAUUCAGUGACUGUCCCCUAGCAAUCAAAUCAUCCUUUUUUUUUUUUGGCACCACAGACCAAGAUAUUGACACCACCUCCGAACAUGUUAGGCAUUGCACAAUUCAGUGAGUCAGUAAUUCAGGUACAAUUUAGUUUGAAUUUUGGGAAUUCGCACAAACACACAUUCGGCCCCAAAUUGAAAUUCUUUCUGAAAUUAAUCUCCAAGUCUAGUAUCUCGAAUCUCCUUUGUGCUGGGUUUUUGCACAUGAGAAAAAUAUGAAGAAGCCCAAUGACGGAUGAAGCACCAGGAGCUGAAGCAAAAGGUUGGUGGCCCCCGUGAGGGUGAUUUUUAAGUAUUUCUCACCUCAAUUUGCUGACCAGGUAUGCAGAAACCUACCAAGUUAAAAGAGUCGAUUUAAUAUCA